AGCGAACGCUGGCGGCAGGCCCAACACAUGCAAGUCGAACGAACUCUUCGGAGUUAGUGGCGGACGGGUGAGUAACACGUGGGAACGUGCCUUUAGGUUCGGAAUAACUCAGGGAAACUUGUGCUAAUACCGAAUGUGCCCUUCGGGGGAAAGAUUUAUCGCCUUUAGAGCGGCCCGCGUCUGAUUAGCUAGUUGGUGAGGUAACGGUUCACCAAGGCGACGAUCAGUAGCUGGUCUGAGAGGAUGGCCAGCCACACUGGGACUGAGACACGGCCCAGACUCCUACGGGAGGCAGCAGUGGGGAAUCUUGCGCAAUGGGCGAAAGCCUGACGCAGCCAUGCCGCGUGAAUGAUGAAGGUCUUAGGAUUGUAAAAUUCUUUCACCGGGGACGAUAAUGACGGUACCCGGAGAAGAAGCCCCGGCUAACUUCGUGCCAGCCGCCGCGGUAA
This 449-nucleotide ribosomal RNA is filed under the name uncultured bacterium. RNAcentral describes it as "partial 16S ribosomal RNA". It matches the Rfam family "Bacterial small subunit ribosomal RNA", at positions 29 to 523 of the family's 1533-position model. The record is from RNAcentral.